Molecule: non-coding RNA, 85 nt
Organism: Pelobates cultripes (western spadefoot toad)
Lineage: Eukaryota; Metazoa; Chordata; Amphibia; Anura; Pelobatidae
Source: the annotation of a GenBank genome assembly
GAAGGGGGGGGUGGUGAAAUCUUUAUCAUGGAAUAACUAAUAGUACUAGUGAGUCGAUGAUAAAGAUUUCACCGCCCUCCCUUAG